Long non-coding RNA from Lycium ferocissimum, 502 nucleotides. RefSeq lists it as uncharacterized. NCBI's taxonomy places the organism in Eukaryota, Viridiplantae, Streptophyta, Magnoliopsida, Solanales, Solanaceae. The transcript is spliced from 2 exons. The record is from RefSeq and is a predicted model, not a curated record.
UUCAUCUCUAAGAAAAGCUUUAGUUAGCCGUCAUUUUUCAAAAAUACGAGCUUAGUAUUUUACUCUUUCGGAUCAGAUUUGUUUCUAUCUGUGAGGAAGAAGCGAAGUCGAGGAGUUUUUAAACACUUCGUUGGUCUCUAUUGGCUGAUAGCCAUAAGGGAGACGUUCGAACUCAUUUGUCGAGCUUCGGAUCUGUUCUUUACGAGAGAGUAGAUUCGAGGCCCCGUCUCAGUUCACUGCACCAGCAAGAGAGCCAAAGAGUCCCAUUUUGAGACUCGACGUCACCGCGAGACCUGAAACGUGCAUUUGUAUAUCCUUCCGUGCUUCUCACUCUCUCAAAUACAUCUCAACACGAAUGAAAAGCGGGGGGAAGUUGGCGAACAUUCUACCAUAAUCUUCCUUCAAUUCCCUAUCUUAAAGUGUUAUGCUUGUUGUUUCUUUUCAGUUAUCUAAGAAUGAAUGUUUGUUGUUUACUGUUGGUGUUUGUCCUUUUAAAACUCUA